Molecule: long non-coding RNA, 630 nt
Organism: Budorcas taxicolor (takin)
Lineage: Eukaryota; Metazoa; Chordata; Mammalia; Artiodactyla; Bovidae
Exons: 3
Source: RefSeq, a predicted model, not a curated record
CUGGGGCCUGGCUCCCCUUGAGCUCCGAAUGCAACCCCGCCGCAGCCAGGCCGGCCGCCGAGCGCUGGGCUGCGUGGUCCUGGAGCGCAGGAGGCAGGCCAGCCCCCGCGCAAACCCCCAGCCCUCCGUCUGGACCCCAGGGCCCGGCUGGGUCAGAGUCACUGAUCCCGUUUUCAGUGGAGGAAACCGAGGCUCAGAGAGUCACCGCCGGAGCUGGCCUGUCAUGGGCCGUGAUGUGGCCCCGCUGUGGGUUUGAGUCCAGGCCAACCUGGCCCCAAAGGCUGUUCUUGCACAGGAGCCUGAGGCUCUGAGUCCGGCCUUGGAGGCUGACAUGGAUGCAGGGCGUCCCUCACCUGCUGGUUGGAGAGCAGUGAGAAGCUGACGUUGCAGACCCUGAGACCCCGCCCUCAUGUGUCCACGGCUGCCAAGGGCGUGUGGAGCUGAAGACGAGGGCUGCUGGAGGCCGAGGGCCGUGGGGAUGCUGAGGACGGAACGUCUACUCCUGGCCCCCGAGGAGUGGAGGAUCAGCAGAGCCCAGACCCCGCAGGGCGCCCCGUGCCAGCGUCCACCUCCAGGGGCUUCUAGGAGCUGGGGCGUCUUGGUCCCCUCUGGGUAUGGAGGGAGUGAAGU